Molecule: long non-coding RNA, 2012 nt
Organism: Myxocyprinus asiaticus (Chinese sucker)
Lineage: Eukaryota; Metazoa; Chordata; Actinopteri; Cypriniformes; Catostomidae
Exons: 5
Source: RefSeq, a predicted model, not a curated record
AGAAUCUUUCCAUUUCUCUAGAAAGAGAAUGAAACGGAAAGGCAAACAAUCGUGGUUUUGCUUCGAGCAAGUCAGAAUGACAUGACAGAUUCCUGGAUUACUGUACGCACCGUGACGUCACAAAGGCUAACCAAGCAUUUGGGGAACUAAACUAUGAAAGAACAAUAGGACAACUACUAUGCAUCAGAUUAAACAGUGAGGGUUUACAUGGGAGUUUAGUUUGGCCAUUUUAUACACUGGCUCUAGAUUCAGAUUAAAAUAGCUUUAUUGGCAUGGUAAAAGCAAAGCUUUACAUUGCCAAAGCAUGGGAACAUUAACUAUACAUACAUACAAAUUUACACACAUAAGCAUGCAGUUAAAGGAAAAGAUGUUAAAAUACAAUAAAAUAAAGGAAUAGUAAAAAAAUGUAAAUAAAAGCGGUUUGUUAUGCUAUGUUUCCAUUGACCUGGCAUAGUGUUUCUGUUAUUGUUCGGUAUGGUCCUGUUCCACUGGUUGUCCUUUUGUCAUGCAGGACUUUACAUAUCUCUCAGACAGGUUUUGGCUUGCUGGGGUUUCUCCAAGUAGUUUGUGCUUGGGUUGUAUCCAAUUAAAGUCUUUGUGAUGGGUUGUGAAGUGGGGGAAAAUGUUUCCCUAAUUUGUGUAUAACUAGUGCAUGUUGUUAAAAAGUGCAGUUCUUUUUUCUGACCAUUGGCGACAGAGAUCACCGUGGGGAGCGACAAGACAAGUUGGGAAAAUUUCAACUUUAUGCAAAUGCCGAGAGACAUUCGCGAGCGACUACCAAUGAUAGUGAAGACAGAGGAUCUUACUUCAACCGUCUUCAGGCAGGGUGAGUGUAAGAUAUUGGAGUCGACUCGAGCGCAGGCAAGACUGAGAAGAAGUUAAAAGUUUUUGUGUGCGGUUUCAUUUGUCUGUAACCACAUACAUAGAUAUGGCUUAAUAAAAUGGUGCAUGGAAAACCGUGUCGGCAUUCUGAGUUAGUUUGAUUCAAAUAUUGAUAUAAUGUUCGUUCCCUUACUACUCAGUACACUUGACAUUGCGUUUGCUAGUGGGGAGUGUCCUUCCAUACGAACUAGUUGAAACCUCUCUACAAUAUCGGCAAUAUUCUAAUAUUGGCUAUGGUGUUUGAGUCCCGCCUUUUUAGGUGCAAAGCUGUUUAUUAUAAAAGCAGGCGCACAAACACCGUUCUUCAGAAUUUUCUUCCUUCAAGACAGUGAUUCAUCUCUCGUCUAGAAGCCCUCUACUGCUUCACCAUCAACUACAUGAGUCAGCAGGCGGGAUCUUCACGGUAAUGAGAAGACUCCGCUCCCCUGCAGUGUUCCGGCAAACAUCACUCCGCCUCGCCACUCGAUGCUUCACUGGUGAACGGGCCUCUUCAGCAUCCUGAUUUCCCGCAGCACUUUGACAGGAGAUGUUGCCAUCCUCCAUCAUCUGUAUGAAGACAAUUGACAUGUUCUCAAAACAAGCAUCUUCCUUCAUGAACAAAUCUAAGUAAUAAUGACAGAUGUGAGAGUCAUCAUCCUCAUGAAGGCAGCUAGCAUAUUCUCAAAGCCAACAGUGACCACUUCUUCAUAUUCAGCUUGAACUGCAAGGAAAAGGUUGAACAUAUCUGAUUAAAAACAUAAGCAGUAACAAUGAGCAAAAACUUUAUUUCUCAUUUACAGUACAGGCUGAUUCUUCUAAACUAAACAUUCUCUUGACUGACUCUUCAUCUUUGUGUUUCCACUGUUCCACCAUAAAGCCUUCUAUCUUAAGUUGCCGAGUAAUUAUCGCAAGGUGAAGCUUUCUUCAGUGCUUCCUCCAGUGAGAGGACUGUCUUGUAGUUGAAAGCCUGGUCAAAUCCCAGUUCUUUCAGGUAUGCCACCUUGUAAUCACUACCAGCUGAACCGACCACCUUGCAGCCUUUGAUCUUGCAGAUUUGACCCACCAUUGCACCUACAACACCUGCUGCUGCGCUUACCAGCACUGUUUCACAGGCUGUACCUUGCAUACCUCUUCCAGACCGUAAAGAGUGG